Molecule: long non-coding RNA, 1843 nt
Organism: Triticum aestivum (bread wheat)
Lineage: Eukaryota; Viridiplantae; Streptophyta; Magnoliopsida; Poales; Poaceae
Exons: 3
Source: RefSeq, a predicted model, not a curated record
CGAAACCCUAGCUGCUUUCGUUCCCCACUCACGCCGCCGACCCAGAGAGGCGACCUGACCCUUCCCUCCCAUGGCGCCACUGCCCCCACCCAUAGCCGGCUCCCUCUCCCCUCCCUCCCUCUCCACUCCGUUCCAUGGUACCAGAUCUUAAGGGGACAUGGUCUCUUCGCUCCCGGUGGUCCAGGGCGAGGUAGGCGGCCUCCGCUCCCUCCACUUCCGGCGACAGGUGCCUAUAUCUCUGCCAACCAACAUUCGGUGACCAGGAGGUAGCCAUCUAUGGCGGCAACAAAAUCAUCUCCCUCUCGUGUGGUCUCUCCCUCCACUCCCCCUCCAGGCUGCAGAUUUGAAACUAGAGCGUGCAGAUUUAUAGUUUUCUAAAAAGUAUUUUCAUGAAUUGGUUAUAUUCGUUCAGUUGUUCGUCCCACCCCUCUGCAUAUCCGACCCAUUCUUAUGUAGUUUAUUAUUAUAUGAGAGGAAGGGGUAAGGGACUGUUAGUUAAGAACAGUUGCAUCUGUGUGUUCUCGGCAAGAAAGAGAAUGACACAGUUAAACAUUCAGAUUUAAGCAAUAGAUGGAUGGAACUUUUGUUCUGCAGUCUAAUAACGAGAUACAAUAAAAGUUCUUUUAUUUUACUGAAAUUAACUUUUACUUGAGUGAGGUGCUAAGGUCAACCUCUAUACAUGCACAUCCCUGAACUGAAAAUACACCCAGGCACCAAUUUCGGACAGUACAAAAUUGAUAUGAUGCUUACUUUGUGAGUGAGUAUCUUAUUGCACAAUAUCUCUGAAUAAAAGGCAUGGUUAGAAAUAAACUGAACCAAACUAUAUCGACAUCAGAGAGCCCUUGAUAUUUGGUUCAGAGCCCUUGAUCAUUACAGCUAGAAAUUACAGCUAGAAAUUACAAUUAUGAGUUUAAUUUCUCAAUUACAGCAAUAAUUGUACUGUAUUUGUAACGAUACAUUCUUACCCUGCCAAUAAAUAUUUGGUUCAGAGCCCUUGAUCAUUACAGCUAGAAAUUAGCAAACACAUUACAUAUGUUCAGUAAAGCCUUUCAAUAUUUUUCCCGUCGAUGUCACAAAAUAAACACCCCAAUUAGUAUGUUUGAGCUUGGUGGUACGUGCCCCCAUCUCUCCCCACUUCAGGAGAAUAGGAGCCAAUCAUCCAUGGCAGAAACAACAUCGUAAGUUCUGUGUUUGUGUGUGCGUGUUCAGAUUCCAACUCCCACGGUGGACCAGAAUUUUUUUAUUUGGUUGUAAGUAUAACCUCUUUCAAAAAGAAAUCGUGCAGCUUCAGUUCAUGGAAGCAGAAGUCCUUGAAGUAGUAAAUUAUUUUUUUGCAGGGGAAAUGAAUCUUUAGUAAGUUUGGGAAAAAAGGCCACUGGAAGAUGUCCAUAGUCAUAUGCAUGCAUCCCAUCGACUUGAUGCUACUACAAUUUACUCUUUGAAGAACCUCCGUAAGUAGUGGAGCAAGAUUUCUUAUAUAUGGGUGAGGGCGUCAAUCAAUGUUGGGAGUUGGGACAAGGAAUCUCAUGACUGCAAUAUAUAGCUACCACGUUGGACCAGGCGCGAUUAUCUUGAGUAUAGCUAGACGGAAAAACAUCUUUCGAAGGAAGCAAACAAAAGGACUACACCCACACAGAACCAUGAAGCCAAUGAUCCACGUCAACUAGAUGUUUUAGAUUUCAUUUUGUACAACUGAUGUAUCAUACUUGCAUCUUUUACAUGUCCUUUUGUGAACCUGAUGUAUGGUGUCUCCGUAGUUAUGUUUAGAACAGAUUGAAGGCAGACUGAAGUGUAUGUAUGUAACACCUAGUUAAUGGAAUAAAAAAAAGUUUGGUGCACCUGA